AUUGAACGCUGGCGGUAUGCUUAACACAUGCAAGUCGAACGGCAGCAUGGUCUAGCUUGCUAGACUGAUGGCGAGUGGCGGACGGGUGAGUAACGCGUAGGAAUAUGCCUUGAAGAGUGGGACAACUUGGGGAAACUCAAGCUAAUACCGCAUGUACUCGAGAGAGUAAAGCUGGGGACCUUUAGGCCUGGCGCUUUAAGAUUAGCCUGCGUACGAUUAGCUAGUUGGUAGGGUAAAGGCCUACCAAGGCGACGAUCGGUAGCUGGUCAGAGAGGAUGAUCAGCCACACUGGAACUGAGAGACGGUCCACACUCCUACUGGAGGCAGCAGUGGGGAAUAUUGGACAAUGGGGGGAACCCUGAUCCAGCAAUGCCGCGUGUGUGAAGAAGGCCUGAGGGUUGUAAAGCACUUUCAGUGGGGAGGAGGUUUGGAAGGUUAAGAGCUAUUCAAAUGGACGUUACCCACAGAAGAAGCACCGGCUAACUCCGUGCCAGCCGCCGCCGUAA
This 506-nucleotide ribosomal RNA is filed under the name uncultured bacterium. Its description in RNAcentral is "partial 16S ribosomal RNA". It matches the Rfam family "Bacterial small subunit ribosomal RNA", at positions 30 to 523 of the family's 1533-position model. The record is from RNAcentral.